Etheostoma cragini (Arkansas darter) is the source of this 1357-nucleotide long non-coding RNA. RefSeq lists it as uncharacterized. NCBI's taxonomy places the organism in Eukaryota, Metazoa, Chordata, Actinopteri, Perciformes, Percidae. The record is from RefSeq and is a predicted model, not a curated record. The transcript is spliced from 2 exons.
CUCUAUAGAGAAACCUGUAGAGGGGGCUCUAUAGAGAAACCUGUAGAAACCCGCAAGCAAAAAGCGAGAAAACAACAAAGAAAUGGGCAAAACUGCAUAGCGCCCCUUUAAGAAACUAAGAUUAAGUUAAGUUUAACUCGGCUUUGAAGUCACAAACUGGCUGUGAUUGGAUCGUCAAACACGCUGUAUACAGUUGGGUAUUAAAGGGUGACCAAAAUUGUAUUAUUCUCCAGACCGCAACCGCAAAAUAAUAACGGGGCCUUAAUAACCUCGACGACAGAGAACCAGACCUUUUUAAUGUAAAACCAGUUACAUUGAAGACGAGCCUUUAUUUUUAAACCCAAUGUGUUUUUUAUCAUGUUUUAGUAGGCAGCCGCCCUGUGUUCUGAUCUGCUCCUGUUUUUAUUUGUAGUUAAUGCAAACUCAAAACCUUUGUUUCCCUGUUGUCUUGAUAUAUUCAGUAUAAUGUACAUUUCUUCAGCACUAUUUCCAGAUUCACCAAACAAAACAGAGAUUCUCUUUUUAACACAGAUACUGUUUUUAGUUACUAAUUAGUUUCAGUCACUGCACUUCAGUCUCUUUUUAAGUCGCUGUUAAGCUACCGUUAAUGGAACGCUUUAUGCAGAGAUUUACAUGUAAAACCUUCCGUCGUCACAGGAUAUCCUCUUGUUGCCAGCGGGCUUUUAAUUUGAAAAAUUAGCAGGAAGUGUCACCGUCAUUUCUCUGUGUGUCGCCGUUCUCAAACUUUGUUCACUUUGAGAAACGACUAAAUUUGAGGUAGCAAGCUAAACGCUAAAAAAUGUGGAUGGUGCAACAAGGCAGGGCGUAAAGAUUUAGAAAUGUUUAAAGUAAUGCAAAUAAACUCAGAGUGCCCCCCCCGUCCUAUCCCAGAAUGCAUCUGUGGUGGAGCCAGACCUUCCUGCACAGCCCCGUGGAGAUAGAACAGGAUAUGCAAAACUAUAGCAACCGUAACUCAAUGGCAAUAAAACAAAAAAGAGCAAUUUCUCUUGGAAGAAUUGUAGAGUCUCUCUAAAUUUAAGGAGCGUGGUCUAGACCUUAUUAUUUGACACUAUAAAUACAAUUAAAGUGCUGUGCAUUAUACUGAAUUUUAACAUUUUAGACAUACUAGCAUGGUGGUAAAUGAACUCUCUGCAGCCGUCUCCAGCCAUGUGUUGUUGUUCACCCCCGUUAUUUAAAUACCAGCUUUUAUUUUGAAAAAGUACAACUUAUUCUUCUUUUUCUGCUUUGUAUUCUUUUGUAUGUUAUUGUAACUAACGUGAUAUUCUACUGGCUUAUGAUGUAUUAUUUGCACACAGCUUAAAACUAAAAGGUCAGUGUGGCACACACACACACUUUG